AAAGGGCAGCUCAGAGGCUACUCACUCAGAUGCAGCCACAGAGAGGAGGGGAGAGUUGCUCCAGAGAAAAGGGCAGCCCCAGAUGCUUGUUUGGAGAGAAAGGACCACUGAAAGGUUCUACUUACGGAGGAGUACUUUACAUUCAUCUCAGAUGACUGGAGCACAUAUCAGGAAGACCCAGGAAAGUGCUGACCUUCCCGUUCUUGUGGCUCUUAUCAGACUAUAUGUGAUCCUGCUGAAGAAACAAGACACACAUACACAGACGAAGGAGAGAAGCCACCAUCAGGCCCAA
Molecule: long non-coding RNA, 292 nt
Filed under: Equus caballus (horse)
Lineage: Eukaryota; Metazoa; Chordata; Mammalia; Perissodactyla; Equidae
Description: lncRNA (ENSECAG00000053273.1)
Source: RNAcentral